AUCUAUCUGAAGAGUCCUAAAUAGGACGAUACGCGCAUCCCUAGUU
This 46-nucleotide non-coding RNA is filed under the name Schistosoma mattheei. Lineage: Eukaryota; Metazoa; Platyhelminthes; Trematoda; Strigeidida; Schistosomatidae. The record is from RNAcentral.